RNAcentral lists this long non-coding RNA (1083 nucleotides) under Anas platyrhynchos platyrhynchos (common mallard). RNAcentral describes it as "lncRNA (ENSAPLG00000027799.1)". The record is from RNAcentral. Lineage: Eukaryota; Metazoa; Chordata; Aves; Anseriformes; Anatidae.
CCGGUACAGAAAUGGGCAUCCCAGUAUGGGAACAGGCAUCCCAGUAUGGGAACCUGCAUCCCGUGAUUGGAACAAGCAUCCCAGUAUGGAAACGGGCAUCCCAGUACAGGAAUGGGCAUCCCAGGGAAAGACGGGCAUCCUGGAGGGAACAGGCAUUCCGGGAUGGGAACCUGCAUCCCAGUAUGGGAAUGGGCAUCCCAGUACAGAAAUGGGCAUCCUGAGGAGAACAGGCAUCCCAGUAUGGGAACGGGCAUCCUGGAGGGAACAGGCAUUCUGGGAUGGGAAUGGGCAUUCCAGUAUGGGAACUGGCUUCCUGGGGGAAACAGGCAUCUCAACAUGAGAACAGGCACCCCAGUAUGGGAAUGGACAUCACAGGAUGGGAACCUGCAUCCUGUGAUGGGAAUGAGCAUCCCAGGAUAGGAACAGGCAUCCCAGUAUGGGAACGGGCAUCCCGGGGUGAACGGACAUCCCAGUAUGGGAAUGGGCAUGCCACUACAUGUAUCCUGUUACAGGAAUCUACAUCCCAGUAUGGGUAUGUGCAUCCCAGUAUAGGAAGCUGCCUCCCAGUACAGGUAUAUGCAUCCCACUACACCCAUCCUGUUACAGGAAUCUGCAGCCCAGUACGGGUACCUGCAUCCCAGUAUGGGUACACACAUCCUGGUACAGAUGUGUUUAUCCUGGCACAGGUACCCAUGUCCCAGUAUGGCUCUGUGCAUCCCACUACAGGAACCUGCACCCCAGUAUGGGUCCCAGCAUCCCAGUAUGGGUCCCAGCAUCCCAGUACAGGUCCCAACAUCCCAGUACAGGUCCCAGCACCGUGCAGAUGCUGCAGCUGGCAGAGGUGCCCACAAGUUUUGCCUCUGUUCCCGUUAGGGCACCCACAGCCCAGCCCAGCACCUUGCAUCCCAUCCCCCUUAGCAUCACCUCCUGCCCGCACCAGCUCUGCUCCAUCCCCGUGUGGGCACCCCACAGCCUGGUCGGGCUGUGUCCCCCCACCCUGGGACCCCUUUCUGCCCUGACAGCCCAGAAGAUCCCACACACAAGGGGAGCAGCGCGGCCCCAUCCAGCCCUGGAGCUCUCCAG